This 113-nucleotide non-coding RNA is filed under the name Nocardia farcinica. RNAcentral's name for it is "SAM-IV sequence". It matches the Rfam family "SAM (S-adenosyl methionine) riboswitch aptamer". Rfam says of the family: SAM-IV is a mRNA element that regulates gene expression via direct sensing of S-adenosylmethionine (SAM or AdoMet). SAM-IV riboswitches share conserved nucleotide positions with the previously described SAM-I riboswitches sequence analysis and molecular recognition experiments suggest that SAM-I and SAM-IV riboswitches share similar ligand binding sites, but have different scaffolds. The record is from RNAcentral. Lineage: Bacteria; Bacillati; Actinomycetota; Actinomycetes; Mycobacteriales; Nocardiaceae. RNAcentral also lists the same sequence under 1 other name.
GGUCAUGAGCACCAGCGCCAAGCCCCGGCUCGCUGGUCGGCAACCCUCCUCCGCGGCGGGGUGCUCCGGGUGACGACCUGGCCGUACCGAAGACGGUGCGGCAAGUGCGGAUU